GAAAUCUCACGGCUUAACUGUGAGCGUGCGGGCGAUACGGGCAGACUUGAGUACUGCAGGGGAGACUGGAAUUCCUGGUGUAGCGGUGGAAUGCGCAGAUAUCAGGAGGAACACCGGUGGCGAAGGCGGGUCUCUGGGCAGUAACUGACGCUGAGGAGCGAAAGCGUGGGGAGCGAACGGGAUUAGAUACCCUGGUAGUCCACGCCGUAAACGGUGGGUACUAGGUGUGGGUUUCCUUCCUUGGGAUCCGUGCCGUAGCUAACGCAUUAAGUACCCCGCCUGGGGAGUACGGCCGCAAGGCUAAAACUCUAAGAAAUUGACGGGGGCCCGCACAAGCGGCGGAGCAUGUGGAUUAAUUCGAUUGCAACGCGAAGAACCUUACCUGGGUUUGACAUGCACAGGACGCCGGCAGAGAUGUCGGUUCCCUUGUGGCCUGUGUGCAGGUGGUGCAUGGCUGUCGUCAGCUCGUGUCGUGAGAUGUUGGGUUAAGUCCCGCAACGAGCGCAACCCUUGUCUCAUGUUGCCAGCGGGUAAUGCCGGGGACUCGUGAGAGACUGCCGGGGUCAACUCGGAGGAAGGUGGGGAUGACGUCAAGUCAUCAUGCCCCUUAUGUCCAGGGCUUCACACAUGCUACAAUGGCCGGUACAAAGGGCUGCGAUGCCGCGAGGUUAAGCGAAUCCUUUUAAAGCCGGUCUCAGUUCGGA
Molecule: ribosomal RNA, 704 nt
Filed under: uncultured bacterium
Lineage: Bacteria
Description: bacterial SSU rRNA
Rfam family: Bacterial small subunit ribosomal RNA
Source: RNAcentral